RNAcentral lists this ribosomal RNA (362 nucleotides) under uncultured bacterium. Its description in RNAcentral is "bacterial SSU rRNA". It matches the Rfam family "Bacterial small subunit ribosomal RNA", at positions 47 to 417 of the family's 1533-position model. The record is from RNAcentral.
CCUAACACAUGCAAGUCGAACGGUAGAGUAGCAAUACUUGAGAGUGGCGAACGGGUGAGUAAUAUAUCGGAACGUGCCCAGUCGUGGGGGAUAACGUAGAGAAAUUUACGCUAAUACCGCAUACGAUCUAAGGAUGAAAGCGGGGGACCGUAAGGCCUCGCGCGAUUGGAGCGGCUGAUAUCAGAUUAGGUUGUUGGUGAGGUAAAAGCUCACCAAGCCGACGAUCUGUAGCUGGUUUGAGAGAACGACCAGCCACACUGGGACUGAGACACGGCCCAGACUCCUACGGGAGGCAGCAGUGGGGAAUUUUGGACAAUGGGCGAAAGCCUGAUCCAGCAAUGCCGCGUGCAGGGAGAAGGCCU